GCUUCAAGCUAAAACUCUUAGACAUUCACUCUAAAUAGACUUCUAUUUUAUAACACAUCUAACAAAGAAAAAUAAACCCCAUUCCUGUACUUUUAUCAAAACCAACACCUAUCCCCCUCUCCACCUCCUCUCUCUUUCCCUCCCUUUCAUCUUUUUCCGUGCUCCAUUCCCGUCCCCUUUCCCCUGCCUUUGGCAAAUCCACCCUAUUAAAACUCAUACAAAUAUGAAAUAACAUAGAUUAGCCAAAUAGAGAACCCACAAAGGGAUUAUCAAUGGACCUCGCCGGAAAAGUUCCUCUAAUGCGAUAUCUAUUGACGAAAAAUUCAUUCUCCAAGCAAACCUCAAAAAAAGAUACUAUUGGAAUCUUCAGUUUCUCUCUCGAUUAUUUACUUGAUUAUUAAUUUUGGCUUAGAUCACUUUUUUCUCUAAUUUAUUAUUUUUGGUGUAAAAUUUUCUUUAAAAUUAUUCGUCGAUGAUGCUGAAAGAGUGAGGAGAAAUUGUGUUCUUAUGGUAGAGAUGAGGAUGACAGGAUUGACAAAAAAAUGUGAUUUUCGUGCCUACACAACAUUUUUUCUACUUCUUUGGCUGAGUCUGGGACUGAUUUUGGGACGACGAAAUUAGGCGAAGCUCUGAAGAUUACGAGCAAUAGAAUUUUGUGGUGAAAGAUGGUAGUUUCUAGUAGUUUUUGGUGCUUAUUUUGGGCUUUAAUGGCUGAUUUUUCUCGCCUAUAUGGCGGUUUCAUAGUGCGGUUGAGGUUGUUUAGUUCAUAAGAAAGGAAGAAGAAAGGUUUAGUUGCAGCUGCUUCAGCUAGCUACUAUGGUGCUCUA
This 827-nucleotide long non-coding RNA is filed under the name Nicotiana benthamiana. RNAcentral's name for it is "long non-coding RNA (NBEN_LNC024049)". The record is from RNAcentral. Lineage: Eukaryota; Viridiplantae; Streptophyta; Magnoliopsida; Solanales; Solanaceae.